This 24-nucleotide ribosomal RNA is filed under the name Stipitochalara longipes. RNAcentral's name for it is "Chalara longipes partial 18S ribosomal RNA". Lineage: Eukaryota; Fungi; Ascomycota; Leotiomycetes; Helotiales; Hamatocanthoscyphaceae. The record is from RNAcentral.
GGUGACCUGCGGAGGAUCAUUACA